RNAcentral lists this non-coding RNA (117 nucleotides) under Pan troglodytes (chimpanzee). Lineage: Eukaryota; Metazoa; Chordata; Mammalia; Primates; Hominidae. The record is from Rfam by way of RNAcentral.
GCUGGGCGCGGUGGUGCACGCCUGUAAUCCUAGCACUUUGGGAAGCCGAGGCGGGCGGAUUGCCUGAGCCCAGGAGUUUGAGACCAGCCUGGGCAAUAUGGUGAAACCCCGUCUCUA